This 275-nucleotide ribosomal RNA is filed under the name uncultured bacterium. RNAcentral's name for it is "partial 16S ribosomal RNA". It matches the Rfam family "Bacterial small subunit ribosomal RNA", at positions 399 to 691 of the family's 1533-position model. The record is from RNAcentral.
GCGUGAGUGAUGAAGGCCCUAGGGUUGUAAAGCUCUUUCGACGGGGAUGAUAAUGACCGUACCCGUAGAAGAAGCCACGGCUAAAUUCGUGCCAGCAGCCGCGGUAAUACGAAUGUGGCAAGCGUUGUUCGGAAUCACUGGGCGUAAAGAAUGCGUAGGCGGCUUGACAAGUCAGGAGUGAAAUCCCAGGGCUCAACCCUGGAACUGCUCUUGAAACUGUCGAGCUAGUGUCCCGGAGGGGUUGACGGAAUUCCGAGUGUAGAGGUGAAAUUCGC